Panicum virgatum (switchgrass) is the source of this 4225-nucleotide RNA transcript. RefSeq lists it as uncharacterized. The transcript has 11 exons. The record is from RefSeq and is a predicted model, not a curated record. Lineage: Eukaryota; Viridiplantae; Streptophyta; Magnoliopsida; Poales; Poaceae.
AUGGAAGUAGAUAGCUGGCUCCGGACCAUCGAGUCUAAGUUCACCAUGCACCUGUACAAUGGUGGGGACAAGGCAGGAUUUGCAGCCCAGCAGCUCAAGGGUCCCGCACGCACUUGGUGGGACAAUCACAUGGCCAUGUUCCCCGAGGGCACACGGUUCACCUGGGCCCAGUUUAAGGAAGCAUUCAGGGCGCAUCACGUUCCAGCAGGAGUGAUCAGGAGGAAGCUCACGGAGUUCUUGGCCCUAAAGCAGGGCAACAACAGUGUGAUGCAAUAUGUCCAGAAUAUCAACACACUCUCACGGUACGCUGGGUACCACGUGGACACGGAUGAGAAGAAACAGGCUAUCGUGCAGGAGGAUGCCCAUCUAGCUCAUAAAGCAGAAAAGAAAAGAAAGGCACCGGCGGCGGGAUCCACUAGUAGCAACCCACAGAGGUUCCGCCUCGUGCAGUCUGGGCCACAACGAGCCCCCUUCCAGCACCAGUCUAUGUACAGGCCACCACAGCAGCAGUGGGGAUAUCGGCCACCUCAGCCACCACAACCGCAGGGGGUAGUCAGGCCUCCUGUUCCUCAGCAGAGCGAGCAAAAGGUCUGGGUGCAGCAGCCGGGUGUCAAGGAUAAAGAUCCAUCAGAUGGCCAUGGAUGGUCCAUCUUGCAGAUUCAUCUCGUGGUUUACAUGUUUUGCAGCUUGUAUUCUCCUGGAGUCGACUGUUUCUGCUCAUUCAUGGCGCACUCCACAUCCUAGCCCAAGGCAAGAAGCAAGGUUCGAGCAGAAGACAAACAGGUUCUGGGAGUACCAGGAACAGAGUAAUACCUGGGUGGAAAUAAGCAUGCCGUUCGACUUGAUGUCUUGCAACAAUGGUACCUGCACAAAGGUAGGAUCAAUCGCAAGAAAACCUGCCAGUUCUCCUGUUCAUAGUCAAGAGGAGGAAGAUGCAAGGCUUGAUGAAGAAGACGAAGACGACAGAAAUGACCCAGUCCUGCCCAUAAGGAAAAGAAUUUCCUUGACAAGAAUGUCGGAGUCAUCAGUAUGGGUGACAGGCCAAAGCGGAUCGAUCUACGAGAGGUUCUGGAAUGGGGUGAUGUGGGUAAUCGCUCCUCAUGAACUCCCUACUUCAGCUGGCUAUGCCACGGCGACUUUCAUUGUGAAUACAACUAUUCUUGCUCUCUCGGAGGCUGGAAUCCUUUACCAGCUGCAGCUAAAUGAGCAUGCCCAGCCUAUCUGGACAGAGAUGACUUUCAACUCUGACCAGCAGUUCACAAAUCUUGGAUUAAAAACACAAAGUCAAGCUAUGCGUAUAAGAAAUGGGAUUGUAUCCGAUGACGGAAGGAAGCUGUUCCUAUCUAUCAUGAAUGGGUCCCUACUUGAGGUCACAGAAAUUCAGCCUCUAAGGUGGAAUUACCAUGGGCGUCCUCCAGGAGGAGAUGUAUCAUAUAUAUCUGAUGCUGGAAAUUUGCGACCAGGGACCUUGUUCACAGUAAGUUCCACUGGAGACCUAUAUGAGUUUGACAAAGAAACGAAGCCAUCAUGGAAAAAGCACAUCUGGAGUGAAGAACUGGCAGAACGUAUUUCAUUAAGCUCAUCAGCUGGCUGUGCUUUGCAUGGUUUGUCAGGGUCUAACUCAGUGUCCCUUUUCUUGAUAUCCAAGGAUGGCAUUUUAGUGGAGCGGCGAUUGCAUAGAAGGAAGUGGAAGUGGGAUAAACAUGGAGCUCCUAUGGGUCAGAGACUCAGUUCAGUUACAGAAGUUCAGCAGGAUGAACUCAAUGACGCAACUUCUAUGUUUUUUACGACAACCACAGGAAAAGUCUUCGAGUAUCAGAUUCCAAAAUAUACAGGUGGGGCUCAAAGCAAUAAGAUAAGAGGGCAAUGGCUGAAUCACAUGUCCCCUGAGCAUGCAAAGGUUGCAAGAAAUGUCCGAGGUGUACAGGUUCAAGUUGGCUGAAUGAUAUUCCCACUAGAUGAUGGUAGGCUUGGGGAGCUACAUUUUUCUGGGAUUGGAGGUGCUGAUUUUGGUCCAAGUCAGCAAAAUAUCGUAAGAAAGAAACUAUCAAACAAGUAUGAGUGGUCCAUCCUCGAUGCACCAGAAACAGAAGGUUGGAAUGCAGAAUAUUGCACCGAAGAGCAUGGUCCUACCAAUUGUAUUACUGGAGCAAAGAGUGUAGCUACAGACACUGAACCAAAUGACUUGAGCAAUACCCAACCUUCCAGGAGGCGCAAAGUAGAAGAGAAGCAGCACUACUUAGAUGUUAACAGACAGCAGAGUGAUGAAACUGAACCGUACAACUUUCUAUCAAGAAGCAUUGAUCGUAACUUCCACAUGCGGGUCAUGCAUGCAGACAGAUCACUUUUUCUUAUAACUGACAACGGCUUGACAUUUGAAUAUCUAAACAGCAAUGGUAUUUGGUUGUGGUUAAGACAUGAGCACACUACGGCCAUGAAAGGUACACUAGGAAGCUACAAUGGCAGCUUGUAUCUUGUUGACGUGCAUGGGAACUUACAUAUUAGAGAAAGAAAUGGAGAUGAACUGUUGUGGAUUAACUGCACAGCAAUGAAGAAGGGAAGGCACGUUGCAAGUGGGCCUCCAUGGGAUGGCAUCCCUGGUCUAUUGCGCAGAAUGACAACAGAUGACACGCUCUUUUUUGUUAACAAGCGAGGCAGGCUGCUACAGUUCACGGUUGCAUUGCGGAAAUUCAAGUGGAAGGACUGCCACAGCCCUCCUGACACCAAGGUUGCAUUCAUAGUGGACCAGGAGGUCUUCAGAAGAAACAUCAUCUUCGUGGUAGGGCGCAAUGGCCGCCUGUACCAGUACAACAGGAUCACAGAGCUAUGGCACAGGCACUACCAAUCACCUCACCUGAUCCUCUCGCGAUCCCCAGGGACAGCCAUGCGACCAUCGCCCAUGUCCUUGGCCGGCUCCCUGUUCAUGGUGUCCGAGCACGGGGGCCUGGUGGAGUACCACUUCAGCCCGCAGGACGGGUGGGAGUGGGUGGAGCACGGGACCCCGCACCGGGACGUGACCCUCGUCGGCGCCCCGGGCCCGUGCUUCGACGGCUCGCAGCUGUUCGUGGUCGGCUCCGACGGGCACGUGUACCGGCGGCACAUGGAGGGGCGGACGUGGAGGUGGACGAGCCACGGCCACCCGCCGCCGGAGCCGGCCGCCGCGGACGACCACACCUGCGCCACGCCAGGCGCGGGCGCGGGCGCGCAUCACGCGGACGGCUUCAGCGGGAGCUGCGACGGGAAGGUGGCGGCCGUGCGGCCGGUGCCGUUCUCGGGGGAUGCGGUGGUCUUCGAGCUGCGAGACGGCCGGCUGGCGGAGCUGCGGCGGCCGCCCUCCGCGGAGGGGUGCGGCGGGUGGGAGUGGGCCCGGAUCAUCGGCACGCCGGCCAGCGCCUGCAUGACCAGCUACUGGACGGCCGUCGCCACGUAGCCGCCGCCGGCCGCUUUGGCUCCGCUGCCGGAGUGUGCCGGUUGAUAGCGAGGUGGAGGAGUUCAAAAUUCGAAAAGGUCAAGACAAAAUAGAACCGUUGAUCGCUUGGAGGAAAAGAACUGUGCUGUGGGCCCUGGGCCGUAGCACGAUCCCAUCCGCGUGGACCCAGGCGCUGUGCAAUUGGGGCGUCCCAAGCGAGGCAGCGACCCAGGCGCCCGUAACACUGACCCCCCACCCUGACAUAGGGGCGGAUCCGUCCGCUACGCGCUCCAACGGCGCCCCCCACCGUGCACUCCAAAUUGGAGGUCGGGGUCUGCGUGUGGAGGGCGUACCGGCGUGCAUGGGCCCACACCAACGGCCGUGCCUCUUUUGCGCACGCGGAGCCAUCAUAGCACCGAGGCAGUUGGUUGAAGUGGGAGGUCUAGAUAAUAUUAAAAUACGUGGUAAUUGGAGUUAGUUGGAGAGAGAAAUAUAAAAUAUUGGAUGGUGGGGUAUAGCGGGUGCGGUAUGGAGUGUAUUGUUGGGGAGGAUUUUGAUAUGGAGUGCGGAAUCUGUUUAGAGGAAGGAGAAUAUUCCUUUUAAGGGUGGAUUUUAGAGGGUACGAUUGGAGACCAUCUAAAAAGGCUGAUCUUCAGAAAAUUCAGCUCGAGUAUUUCAAAAAAAGAAAAAGAAAAUUCAGCUCGUGUGUAUUCUUACAUCACAUUCUAGCCAGAAUUAGUGAGUAACAGCUUACUGUUAGCAAUAUAACUUUAUCUUUAACUUAAAAAAACCUCUGCUAUACAGUACUACUUGUUU